UGUUAGUAUAUCCAGGUUAGUCGAGCUGAUUGUGAGAAAUUAUUUGUUAAAAAUAGGAAUGGCGAAAUAAACAAAAUUUUCCAUUAAAUUUUUGGGUUGCAGUGUAUAUUUGUAUGGUGACCAAACCACUGUGAUUGUAAGCAGCUGCUGUGUACUGAUGUUUCAAUAAAGAAUAUAAUUGUAUAUGUUACCACAAAAACUCUGUAAAUAAUUGUUUAUAAUAAAGAUUUUUUAAAAAUUUAGUUAACUUAUUUAAAUCUAUUUACCCAUCCUUAUAUUCUGUAUUCUAUUAAAAAUGAUAUUAUCCUGAAAGGGGUUUAUAAACUAUUUUGUUAACACAGAUGAUGUGUAAAAAUACAUAUAUUAUCUAUAUACAAUAUUUCAUAAUAUUAUCGGUGCAGCAAUCAAGAUAUACAUAUAUUAUACAUCUAAUUAACAUUGGAACAGAGAUGAAAAUGUGCAGAAUAUCAGUUAAUCUAAAUAAACUUUUAUUUUGUAAGAAAAAUGGAACUUAUAGUGAACUGUUUUUAUUUCAUAACACAUCACUAUAAGUAUAUUGUACUUUUAGUUAAUAAAGAAUUGGAUUCAAUAAAAAUUGUAUAUUUACAAAUUACAUGUCAAAAGAAUGUGAUAAACUAGCCAAAAUGGAUAAUUGCUCCUGCCUUUCACGGCUAAAAAGGAAACAAUGUAAAGAAAACUAAGUUUAAAAAUUACAUAAUCCAUUCAUGUAAUAAAUUUUUCCAGUUUGAUCAGUUCUUAGGGCAUUCAUUUCAUAUUCUGUACAAAAAUAUAUUAUUAUACAAAUAUAAAAGAAAUGUACACAAAAAGAAUGCAAUUCAACAUCAUUAUAU
Long non-coding RNA from Megachile rotundata (alfalfa leafcutting bee), 851 nucleotides. NCBI's taxonomy places the organism in Eukaryota, Metazoa, Arthropoda, Insecta, Hymenoptera, Megachilidae. The record is from RefSeq and is a predicted model, not a curated record.